Molecule: ribosomal RNA, 426 nt
Filed under: uncultured bacterium
Lineage: Bacteria
Description: bacterial SSU rRNA
Rfam family: Bacterial small subunit ribosomal RNA
Source: RNAcentral
UGGGGAAUAUUGCGCAAUGGGCGAAAGCCUGACGCGGCAACGCCGCGUGAGUGAUGAAGGUCUUCGGAUCGUAAAGCUCUGUCGGCAGGGAAGCAAACUUGGAUGGCUAACAUCCAUUCAGGCUGACGGUACCUGCAAAGGAAGCACCGGCUAACUCUGUGCCAGCAGCCGCGGUAAUACGUAGGGUGCAAGCGUUAAUCGGAAUUACUGGGCGUAAAGCGUGCGCAGGCGGUGAUGUAAGACAGAUGUGAAAUCCCCGGGCUCAACCUGGGACCUGCAUUUGUGACUGCAUCGCUGGAGUGCGGCAGAGGGGGAUGGAAUUCCGCGUGUAGCAGUGAAAUGCGUAGAUAUGCGGAGGAACACCGAUGGCGAAGGCAAUCCCCUGGGCCUGCACUGACGCUCAUGCACGAAAGCGUGGGGAGCAAA